Molecule: ribosomal RNA, 447 nt
Filed under: Triticum aestivum (bread wheat)
Lineage: Eukaryota; Viridiplantae; Streptophyta; Magnoliopsida; Poales; Poaceae
Description: partial small subunit ribosomal RNA
Source: RNAcentral
AUGAUUGUCAAUGAGGAAGAGAUCUCACAACUAGAGAAGGAGAAGCGCUGGCUAGCAGUAGCCAAGGUCAACACGCGCAAGACCUUCAGUGCAGAUGCGUUCAAGGACACAAUGAAGUUUGCGUGGAGGUUGGUGUAUGAGCCAGAUAUCUGGGAGGCUGAUGACAAUUUGUUCGUGAUCCAAGUUUUUUGUGUUGCGGAUUGGAAUAGGGUUAUGCAUCAAGGGCCCUGGAUCUUUCGAGGCCUGAUGGUGGCGAUAGAGGAAUAUGAUGGCAAAGGUAAACCUGAAGCAGUACCCCUGGACCGUGUGUAUGUGUGGGCUCAGAUUCAUGAUACGCCUGACCUUUACCGUAAGGAAUCGAUCAUAGACCAACUGGCUAGGCGAAUCGGUCAGGUCAAGACUAUGGAGAUGAACCCCAAUAGAAUUUUUGAGGGCAACUACGUCUGA